RNAcentral lists this ribosomal RNA (476 nucleotides) under uncultured organism. Its description in RNAcentral is "partial 16S ribosomal RNA". It matches the Rfam family "Bacterial small subunit ribosomal RNA", at positions 332 to 799 of the family's 1533-position model. The record is from RNAcentral.
UACACUCCUACGGGAGGCAGCAGUGGGGAAUUUUGGACAAUGGGCGAAAGCCUGAUCCAGCCAUGCCGCGUGUGUGAAGAAGGCCUUCGGGUUGUAAAGCACUUUUGUCCGGAAAGAAAUCCUUGGCUCUAAUACAGUCGAGGGAUGACGGUACCGGAAGAAUAAGCACCGGCUAACUACGUGCCAGCAGCCGCGGUAAUACGUAGGGUGCGAGCGUUAAUCGGAAUUACUGGGCGUAAAGCGUGCGCAGGCGGUUUGCUAAGACCGAUGUGAAAUCCCCGGGCUCAACCUGGGAACUGCAUUGGUGACUGGCAGGCUAGAGUAUGGCAGAGGGGGGUAGAAUUCCACGUGUAGCAGUGAAAUGCGUAGAGAUGUGGAGGAAUACCGAUGGCGAAGGCAGCCCCCUGGGCCAAUACUGACGCUCAUGCACGAAAGCGUGGGGAGCAAACAGGAUUAGAUACCCUGGUAGUCCCAUG